Long non-coding RNA from Oncorhynchus gorbuscha (pink salmon), 947 nucleotides. RefSeq lists it as uncharacterized. The record is from RefSeq and is a predicted model, not a curated record. Lineage: Eukaryota; Metazoa; Chordata; Actinopteri; Salmoniformes; Salmonidae. The transcript is spliced from 3 exons.
GUAUACAGCUCUGGAACGUGCAGCAGCAAGACAGACCGUGCAGCAAGAAAGAGACAGACAGAAAGAGAGGAGCAGAGAGGAAAAGAGAAAAGGAGAGGAGAUGGAGAGAGAAACAGAGAGGCAGAGAGAAACAAAGAAAGAUCGAAAUGGGAGGAACAUGACAAGCCUUGUCAUAGGCAGACAACAGGGGAACCAGCAGCGGAGACAAGACGGGCAGCUUGGCAUUGAGAGCCGCAGAUUGAGCCCAGCUGAGGGAAGAUGGUGUAAACUAAAUGUGAAGCGGAGCCAGACCCUCAGCUAAAUCACCUUAGGGAUGAGAUUCCAAACAUGACUAGCUUCCAGUAUCUAAUAAUCAAAGGUUCCGCUCAAGGGGGAAACAUCACCCAACACAGCAACACAAUCAUGACAAGACAAUACAGUUGAAUCUACAGAUAUUAUACACAAUCAAACGCACGCACGCAUGCCUGCACGCACAAACACAACUCUCUGCAUUUAUCCCAACAAGAGGAGAACCAUGACGUCACCUUUUUCUAUUCUCCACACAACAGUGUAUUUUAAAUAGUGAAAGUUAACCCACUUACUCCACCUAGGGGGGAGUUUGGUAACUACACCUACCAGGGUUGGGCUCAAAUUGAAUUGAAGGCAGUCAAUUCAGGAAAUUAUUUGAAUUUAAAAUUCCGAAAGGUUAAAACUCUUCAAAUAAAUAGCUUCUGCUUUUCAGUUUAUUGAGAAGUGAUUGAAAAUAAAUUCCCUUUUUCGAUUAUUGAAUAGUAAUUUUUGUUAACUUCCUGAUUCGACUGCCUUUAAUUCAAAGCCCAACCCUGAUAUUACAGCCAAGCACGAUUGUGUCAACUUCGCUGAGGUAAAACAAAAAUAUCCUUAAACUGUAUAUUUUAUAUUCUCAAAGCAGCCAAAUUACAAAUGGAUGUGUGAAUAAAUGACAAACU